CCCGGCCGGAAGGACCCCAAAGAUAACGAAUGAAUCGCACAAGUGCUGUUGACUGUAACAAAUUCCAAGAGUUUCGGAACUUCAAGGCAGCAAUGGAACUAGGGUAGGGAAAAUGUGCCACACUAACUGAAGUAGUGCCUCUCCAGCAAAAGUGUCGUUGAUAUUCGUUCUCGCCGGGCUGUUGAUUUGCUGCUGAAAACUGGGUGAAACAAGUCAAUGCAAUGGAUGAAAAGUAUUUUUUCCGUCGAACAACAAAAAUCAGCUCGCCGUGGGACGAGUUGGAGAAGUGAAAACUGUGUCACAAACAGAGGUGUGGGUGGAGCGCAGGGAAAUCGUUUUCAAACUGAAUUGUGUCGUGUAAUUGAUGGUUUAUUUGUUUCCAACUGCGAUCAAAAUUAAGCUGCAGCAGGUACUCACAGCUACCCCGCCGGGUUGGUGGUUGAUUGCAAGGACUUCGUUCGACGACGUGGUGCGGCGCAAGCUAGUGAAUUCAGUGCACGUCGAACAGCAUCGAACAGUUGUUGCAGCAUUGGCGUAUCUGGGCAGAUUAUCGGACUCAUUACGUCAGAUACCAUUGGAAGUUUUAAAAUAAUUGCUGAACAUUGAAGUUCAUAAAUGACUAGAAAACAGGAAGAAUCCCGAAAGGAACCUGGUCCACAAUUCCUCCACCCCCCGCCCUGCUACGCCAAUGCCAUCGAACGACAGGAGGUUGAUAGAGAACAGUGCAGACCAAAUCAAGCCAGAGUGCGGCGAAAAAAAAAAACAGGAAAAACAACACAGUCGAUCCCCAUGAUUGAAAGCAAAGUGAUAAGAGUUUGAUUUUUAAUUGAAAAAUUCUCGUUUGCCAUCGAUGUUGUCGUCGUCGUCGUAGUCGUCGUUCGCCAUGUCGACACGACGACACUUCAGCCGAAGAAUCGAGACAGCGAGUGAUGGUGCGCCGUCGAUCGUUGCCGUUGUUGGGAGGCGAAGGCUAGAUAGAAAUCGACAGCCGCCGACAGUGACUUUGUCGAGCAAGGAUAGUGCCGCCAUGAAGCAUACACCUAGCUGGGAUAUCGAGUGACGACGACGACGACAACGGCGGCUUUGAUCCGGGGAUCCUGGUCCGGAAGAUUGAUGGAACCGUGAGAGACAACCGAAGGGGAUGCACCAACCACCCUCCAACCCACCACCUCCAGCAGCAGGCAGGGUUGUUAUUGCAAGUCGAAAGUAGUGAAGCAAACAUUCGGGAUGGUUGGUUCGCGGUGAGCUGUGCUGACUGGGCUGCAUUUUGUGUGAAGCCCCUAGAAGCUCCUCGACGACAACGACGACGACGACGUCGUAGAUGGCAUCAGCACAACAACCAUAAUGUCUAUGUUAUCCGUGGAAACUCCCCGACAUACACCGCAGUCAAGGAUAUUGCUGAUGUUGAUGCGGCGAUGACGAUGACGACAGCGACGACGACGACGACGACGACGAAGACAACGGAUGCCGGCGAAUAUCUUUUUCAUCGAAUCUGCGCUCUCGGUCUCGUCUCUGAAUCGAUGUUAGGAGCUUUGGUCGCAUCAAAUGGGCCAAAGCCAGGCAACCGUAAAGUUUAAACAAGAUCCUUGGUAUCGUGCAGCCAGCAACAACGGCGAAUGACAAAGGGAAACAAAAAAAAACCUAACAAAAUUUGAUUGAGCUGCCAGGCGAUUCGUCUAUGUUGCCACAGGGAGGCCAGCAUCCGCCCACCACCCGCACACAUGAGCGCAAAUGUUAUCAUUCUUAUGUUUCGGUUUUCUUUUCCAUAUCGCUCAAUGAAAUGAAUUGUUUUUCCUCGAGGAGAAUUUGGAGGUAGAUUGAGUAAGAGUGUAGGUUUUGAUAAAUAAACAAGCUAGAUGUCGAUUAACAUAAAAGGUCGAAUUAAUUUCGAUGACUGCCUUUGGUACAAAUUUGACUUAAAUAUCAUGAACACGGUUCGAUGUGGGUAAUCAUCAUAAUAACAUUAAACGCAGCAAUUUA
Long non-coding RNA from Aedes albopictus (Asian tiger mosquito), 1980 nucleotides. RefSeq lists it as uncharacterized. NCBI's taxonomy places the organism in Eukaryota, Metazoa, Arthropoda, Insecta, Diptera, Culicidae. The transcript is spliced from 3 exons. The record is from RefSeq and is a predicted model, not a curated record.